GAAAUGCGAUAAGUAAUGUGAAUUGCAGAAUUCAGUGAACCAUCGAAUCUUUGAACGCAUAUUGCGUCCCUUGGCAUUCCGAGGGGCAUACCUGUUCGAGCGUCAUUUCACCACUCAAGCGUCGCUUGGUGUUGGGCGUGCAGCCCCGGGGAGGGGCUCGCCUGAAAUGCGUCGGCGGCGGCGGUUCCGGCUCAGGCGUAGUGGAACCUAAACCAGGCUCGCCUUGGAGGUCGGAGCGCCGCCCGCCGCGGGGUACGUGAUUCUCAAGGUUGACCUCGGAUCAGGUAGGAGUACCCGCUGAACUUAA
RNAcentral lists this unclassified non-coding RNA (307 nucleotides) under uncultured Ascomycota. RNAcentral's name for it is "sequence contains ITS1". The stretch from base 1 to 105 matches the Rfam family "5.8S ribosomal RNA", at positions 50 to 154 of the family's 154-position model. The record is from RNAcentral. Lineage: Eukaryota; Fungi; Ascomycota.